CCACUAUUUGAUGUUGUGUACACAUUCUUAUUCUUAUAUGUUCAUUCUUAUUUUUUGCAUAGGUCAAGUGUGAAUCCAAGUCCGAAGCUGUGAAGCAUAUCAGCAAAGAGUAGUAUAUUAUGUGUUGUAAUUGUAGGUUAAUUUGGGUUGUGGUAUAUUGUAAUAGACUAAUAUAGUGUUGUUUUGGACGAAUUUCAUUUGCUCUUUGGAUUGUUUGAAAUAAUGAUUGUGUAUGUAAUUUGUAUACCCGUGAAAGGAAAACCUGACAAGGGGUUCAAGUUAUAAU
This 286-nucleotide long non-coding RNA is filed under the name Hordeum vulgare. RNAcentral describes it as "long non-coding RNA (HVUL_LNC013103)". The record is from RNAcentral. Lineage: Eukaryota; Viridiplantae; Streptophyta; Magnoliopsida; Poales; Poaceae.